This 1523-nucleotide ribosomal RNA is filed under the name metagenome. RNAcentral's name for it is "bacterial SSU rRNA". It matches the Rfam family "Bacterial small subunit ribosomal RNA". The record is from RNAcentral.
AGAGUUUGAUCAUGGCUCAGAACGAACGCUGGCGGCGUGGAUUAGGCAUGCAAGUCGAGCGAGAAAGCGGUCUUGAAUCGUGAGUAAAGCGGCGAAAGGGUGAGUAAUACAUAGAUAACCUACCCCCAAGUUGGGAAUAAUCACUGGAAACGGUGACUAAUGCCCGAUGUGGACACCUGGUCGUUGGACCGAGUGUUUAAAGAGGGCCUCUACUUGUAAGCUAUCGCUUGGGGAGGGGUCUAUGUCCUAUUAGCUUGUUGGUGGGGUAAGAGCCCACCAAGGCUGUUAUGGGUAGCCGACCUGAGAGGGUGACCGGCCACACUGGGACUGAGACACUGCCCAGACUCCUACGGGAGGCUGCAGUCGAGAAUCAUUCGCAAUGGGCGAGAGCCUGACGAUGCGACGCCGCGUGCGGGAAGAAGGCCCUCGGGUUGUAAACCGCUGUCACCCGUUAAGAAAGGCGCGGUGGGGAAUAUCCACUGUGUUUGACGAAGGCGGGGGAGGAAGCCACGGCUAACUUCGUGCCAGCAGCCGCGGUAAUACGAAGGUGGCGAGCGUUGUUCGGAAUCACUGGGCAUAAAGGGCCCGUAGGCGGCGACCUAAGUCGGCUGUGAAAGACCUCGGCUCAACCGGGGGAACGCAGCCGAAACUGGGUGGCUUGAGCACGGUAGGGGAAAGCGGAAUUCCAGGUGGAGCGGUGAAAUGCGUAGAUAUCUGGAGGAGCACCAGAGGCGAAGGCGGCUUUCUGGACCGUUGCUGACGCUCAGGGGCGAAAGCUAGGGUAGCAAACAGGAUUAGAUACCCUGGUAGUCCUAGCCGUAAACGAUGUGCACUAGGUAGGGGACGUACUCUGCGUUCUCUGCCGUAGCUAAUGUAUUAAGUGCACCGCCUGGGGAGUACAGUCGCAAGGCCGAAACUCAAAGGAAUUGACGGGGGCUCACACAAGCGGUGGAGCAUGUUGUUUAAUUCGAAGCAACGCGCAGAACCUUACCCGGGCUUGACAUGCUGGUGGUACGCGGAUGAAAGUCCAAGGACCUGGAAACAGGAGCCAGCACAGGUGUUGCAUGGCUGUCGUCAGCUCGUGUCGCGAGAUGUUAGGUUAAGUCCUGUAACGAGCGAAACCCCUAUCGUCUAGUUGCCAGCGGGUAAUGCCGGGCACUCUAGCGAGACUGCCGACGCAAACCGGAGGAAGGAGGGGAUGACGUCAAGUCCUCAUGGCCCUUACGCCCGGGGCUACAAACGUGCUACAAUGGCCGGUACAAAGGGCAGCGAGCUCGUGAGAGUAAGCGAAUCCCAAAAAGCCGGUCCCAGUUCGAAUUGCAGGCUGCAACUCGCCUGCAUGAAGUUGGAAUCGCUAGUAAUCGCGGAUCAGCUACGCCGCGGUGAAUAUGUUCCUGAGCCUUGUACACACCGCCCGUCAAGCCACGAGAGCGGGUAGUACCCGAAGUCGCUGACCCAACCUUUUCGGAGGAGGGAAGUGCCGACGGUAAGACUCGUGAUUGGGACUAAGUCGUAACAAGGUA